Solanum dulcamara is the source of this 105-nucleotide small nuclear RNA. The record is from RefSeq and is a predicted model, not a curated record. NCBI's taxonomy places the organism in Eukaryota, Viridiplantae, Streptophyta, Magnoliopsida, Solanales, Solanaceae.
UGUCCCUUCGGGGACAUCCAAAAUAAAUUGAAACGAUACAAAGAAGAUUAGCAUGACCCCUAUGCAAGGAUGACAUACAUAAAUUGAGAAAUGGUCCAAAUUAAA